AAAGGAUCUCUUCCUGGAGAUCCCUCCUUGGUGAAGCUUUCCUCUGUGAACCUGGAGUCUUCCAAUAUGGAGGGACUGGAGGAAAGUUGAGCAGCAAGCACUGUGCAGACCUCCAAUGUCAAUAGCACUAGGCAAACAGUGUAGCAGGAUAACUAACCUCUGACCUGAAAAUCUAUGCCCUUUCUCACUAUGGCCUGUCUUACUCCAUACGAACAGCCUCUCACCUUGUGGUCCUAGCCUGCAAAUGAAGAGUCUCAGAAGGGUAACCACCUGAGUGACAGUCAUUGCAGUUCAUGGGACAGGUCUUGAGAGAGGUGUGGGACCUGCAGUAAGGCCUGGAACUGAUAUUAAUUACUUUUCUAUCAUUAAGUGUUACAGCUUUUCUUAAGCUUCUAAGCUAUGCCCUACAUCAAAUAAAAAGGUAAAUCACCACGUACCUUAGUGGGCUUUGGAUCAAGGAAGCUGCCAGCCGCGUGGUUCUUGCUAUCCCAAAAUGGGACCCUCUGAUGUUGCUUAUUCCUCAUAUACUGCUGUAUCCAGUCAAAGCAUACAGAAAACAAGCAUCAGAGUUUUUUAACUGAUGUUAAUUGUUCAGAUAGUAUUUGUGACACUGUACGGAUGAUGAAGAAUCACAAUGUUCUGGGUGAUUUAUCUUUUCAUUUUACUCUAGACAUAGCUUGGAAGCUUAAGAAAAGCAGUGGUGCCUAGAAUCACACAUAACGAAUUGCUGAGUGGGGUCACUUUCUUGGGAAAUUUGUGGUUAGUUCAGAUUUCUUCCAGUGCUGGUGGCCUAAGGAGCAGCCAGAACCUUCCUGAAACAGGAUCAAGUAGGAAGUUGCAACCACUGAUCAGCUGAAGAAUUACUGAGCAUCCAGAUCUGCCUGGAUGUUUGAGGGGGGGAAAAAAUCAGUGGUUCUCAGAUAACUCUCUGAUAGGUGAGCCAUGGUGAACGAGUCUGGCAAUGAAAUGGUGUCUUGGAGAAACUGAAGUGUUUAGGUAGAGGGAAAGAAAAGUUUCUUUUGUCUCAAGAGCAGAAAAAAGUCACCUCACUUGAUGAAGGCUUAAUCCCUGCAGAUGGUCUGAAGCCACAGCAUCUUUGUUCUCUCCAUGCUAGCAUCUGUUGAAAAGUUGUCAUCACUGCUUAUGCCAAAUGCUGGAUGGGGAACAAUUUGUGUAAAUCCUGCUCAAAAUAACAAGCUCGUUAAUAGCUUAUAUUCUCUAUAAGCAGCCAAGGUACACUUAGCCAUGACAGUUUUCUUUCAGUGGACUUUGAGGUAUUAUCAGCUGUGACAGUGUGGAGUGGGUGGAAUGUGGGGAACAAAAGCCCCACACAAAGGAGGCACUUUAGGUCUGGGCUCCUCUGCUUCCUAGAGGCCACACAGUGCUGAGCUACAGUGAGAUUCUUUUCUCUAAUUAAUAUUUCGUUCUCUGGGAGAGUUUUGAGUUAUCCCUUGAGAUAUGUUAAAGGUUUGCACAUUUUCAGGAAGAGAAACAAGGCUGCUGAACUUGAAUUAAGAAAAUAUGUUGAAAGGAGCUGCUACAGCCUGUAACUUUGGGCGAGGGACACGUAAAACCAUACAGUAUUACUGCACUUUUCAUUGUAUUACUUGUUCUAUGUCCUAUUUCAUGGUCUGUUCCAAUAAAGUCAUGCAUAAAUGCUGCUAGGAACCAUUCACCCCUUUUUCCUUUCUACCUCCCAUGGACUGAGGCAUCUGAUACUUCAUAUUCUGCGGUGGUAUUUGUUUUCCACACUGACCCACCAAAAUAUUUUAUGACAGUAAUAAAAUAAAGUGCCUGUGUGGUUAGAAUUGCUGAGUUUAGCAAGGAAGGUGAAAGAAUGGUCACUGGAGGAGAACUGCUGCCACCAGCAAGUGCAGGGAGUCCAACCAGGGCAGGCAACAGGUCAUCCAGGCUCCAUGGUGUUUAGCUGUAUGAGCCAUGGGAGUAGGGCUGUGUACCCUUACAGAUGUGGUAAAUUGGGAGCUGCAGUAACAGAAUGACAUCAGUCAUGACCAGCAAGGCUGUAGCCACACAGCUAGCUAAAAGGUGAAACUGAGCCACUUGUCAUGGGCUUCACCUUUCAGGUGCUCUGUCCCAGGGACCAGGGAAGAGAACUUACUGCAGGGCUCCAGCUGUAUGUAAAAGCUGAGCUGCUCCAUCCAGUGGCUUUCUGUUCCCUUCACCAAGGGCUAGUGUGAGGCAGCAGUCUUUUAAUCCAGCUGUUAUUCCUCAGGGUACAGCUUGUAUCCUGAGCAAAGUGAUUACAGAUCUAGCCUUGCAAACUGGAGGUACAGUAAGAAAAAUGAUGCCACUAUGUUUUGAGAGGUUUACCUACGGGCGUAUCAGACACCAUUUGAAGAAAGCCCUCCCUGGCUGUGCACGGAGAGAGAGGCCCUUAAUCUAUCUAAUGGCUCCCAUGACAUUGAUGUACUGUCUCUUUCAUUGUUGUGUUAAGGACCUCUCAAGCAUUC
Long non-coding RNA from Tympanuchus pallidicinctus (lesser prairie-chicken), 2471 nucleotides. RefSeq lists it as uncharacterized. The transcript is spliced from 4 exons. The record is from RefSeq and is a predicted model, not a curated record. Lineage: Eukaryota; Metazoa; Chordata; Aves; Galliformes; Phasianidae.